Molecule: ribosomal RNA, 520 nt
Filed under: uncultured Acaulospora
Lineage: Eukaryota; Fungi; Glomeromycota; Glomeromycetes; Diversisporales; Acaulosporaceae
Description: SSU rRNA
Rfam family: Eukaryotic small subunit ribosomal RNA
Source: RNAcentral
AGCAGCCGCGGUAAUUCCAGCUCCAAUAGCGUAUAUUAAAGUUGUUGCAGUUAAAAAGCUCGUAGUUGAAUUUCGGAAUUUGUCGGUUGGUCGGGCUUCACUGUCCGCACUGGCCUGAUGGAUUCCUACCUUCUGAAUAACCAGCAUGCUAUUAAGUUAGUGCGUUGGGGAAGCAGAGCUAUUACCUUGAAAAAUUAGAGUGCCUAAAGCAGGCUCACGCUUGAAUAGAUUAGCAUGGAAUAAUAAAAUAGGACGGCGUGGUUCUAUUUUGUUGGUUUCUAGGAUCACCGUAAUGAUUAAUAGGGAUAGUUGGGGGCAUUAGUAUUCAAUUGUCAGAGGUGAAAUUCUUGGAUUUAUUGAAGACUAACUUCUGCGAAAGCAUUUGCCAAGGAUGUUUUCAUUAAUCAAGAACGAAAGUUAGGGGAUCGAAGACGAUCAGAUACCGUCGUAGUCUUAACCAUAAACUAUGCCGACUAGGGAUCGGACGAUGUUAAUUUUUUAAUGACUCGUUCGGCGUACC